This 459-nucleotide ribosomal RNA is filed under the name uncultured bacterium. Its description in RNAcentral is "partial 16S ribosomal RNA". It matches the Rfam family "Bacterial small subunit ribosomal RNA", at positions 338 to 795 of the family's 1533-position model. The record is from RNAcentral.
CCUACGGGCGGCAGCAGUGAGGAAUAUUGGUCAAUGGACGAAAGUCUGAACCAGCCAAGUCGCGUGAAGGAUGACGGUCCUAUGGGUUGUAAACUUCUUUUGUCUGGGAACAAAGUUCAGCUCGUAAACCUUAUCGUAUGUACCCUAUGAAUAAGCAUCGGCUAACUCCGUGCCAGCAGCCGCGGUAAUACGGAGGAUGCGAGCGUUAUCCGGAUUUAUUGGGUUUAAAGGGUGCGUAGGCGGGCCGUUAAGUCAGCGGUAAAAGGCCGGGGCUCAACCCCGGCGAGCCGUUGAAACUGGCGGUCUUGAGAGGGCGAGAGGUAGGCGGAAUGCGUAGUGUAGCGGUGAAAUGCUUAGAUAUUACGCAGAACUCCGAUUGCGAAGGCAGCAUACCGGAGGCGAACUGACGCUGAGGCUCGAAAGUGUGGGUAUCAAACAGGAUUAGAUACCCCUGUAGUC